Molecule: non-coding RNA, 258 nt
Organism: Vicia faba (fava bean)
Lineage: Eukaryota; Viridiplantae; Streptophyta; Magnoliopsida; Fabales; Fabaceae
Source: the annotation of a GenBank genome assembly
AUGGAGAAUCCUCCUUGCUUGCUUCAUCACCUUCCAAUUCAUCCCUCACAAAACUCAGCUUUCCGAUCAUUAACAAACCGCCACCUUCAUCCACCAAUCAUCCACCGUAACAAACACAAACCUCUCAACGUCCUUACUAAUUCACCUUCACUGCCAUUUCACCAUCAUCAAAAUGUUAUCCAUCCUCACUACAUCAGAACCCUCUGUCUGAAUUGUAACAUACCAACUCCAAAUCUCCUCUCAUUUCCGAAAACCUAG